CGCACUGAAAGGUAACAAAGUUACCUGUAGUGGGCAGUCAAACUGGAAGUCAACACUUCCGGGCCUUUAGCUGUCUGCAACAUGAGUUUAUAAUAGUAAUCUGAGAUUAUACUGUCGGUCUGGCUGGAGCCUAAUCUGGUCCAGCUACUCACAGGCGAGAAGAUGAGAUGAGAGAUGAGGAAAAAGUGAUUGACUUGCAUGAUGGAGAAAGAUAUGGGGGAGAAAGAGGCUGGUGGAAAAAAAAAAACUAGCACAUGAGUUGUUUUGUAAUGUCAGAUAUACGUUCAAACUCAACUUUCUGCCCUGAAGAAUGUGAGGACCGCAGGCAUUCCUAUUAAGAUUAUCAUAAAUCCCAUUCCCUGUCUCUCACAUAAUGUCCGACUAAUGUCUGAAGAUUGCAUGAGACACCUAAACGUUGAGUGUCGACACUGAGUCAAGUACCUUUGAAAAGAAGCCACUUCACACACACUUCAGAGUAAUUCUUCACAGAGGUGAAACAGAUACACAGAAAGGCACAAAAGAAAGCUUGGCUUUCUCAAGAAAUGUCAAGGGUCUUUGUAUGACCCAUAAUAAAUGGUGUUUUUGGAGGUUUUCUUCCCCAUAACUGGCACACACAUAGACAAACUCACACUGCAGCAGAAGUCCACUAUGCUACAACACCCACUCCAAAGUGUAAAAGAGAGAAAACCCAGCUCCAAUUCACAGGAGGACUCCCACUCUCAGCUCUUAUACAACUGCCUCCCCCUCCACGAGUGCAAGUAGUGUGUGUGUGUGACGCAUAGGAGGGAGACGACACUUCAUCCUACACAUGCACAUCUCAACUGACACUGAACCACUCACACACACACAUAUACGAGCGCGGAGCACGAGGCUGUCACCAAAGCACACGGCUCCGGCAGUGUAGAAACCCCACACGGCAGCCUCGCAGAGCGGGAGAGCAAGCCAGACGUCGAGAUGUGAAGAUGGAGACAGACGAGAAAGCAUGCGAGAGCGUCAGAGGGCGAAUCAGAGGAGGGAAAAGAGUGCAAGAUGUUUUGACACCGGUGUUUGUCUCCAUUAAAUGAGUCUGGCUGAAAGGUCUCAGGGGGGCACCUGAGCACAAUUCUGGCUGAGGACAGCAGAGCAGAAGGUGUGUGAGAAGCAUUGUGGCUCCAUCCUGCUUUUCCCUGUCCUGAACAACUGUGCGUGGUCGGGUCGGUUCUUCCUCCGCACAGAGCACUUCAAGAGCUGAGAGCCAGAGCUGUUGCCAUGGCAGCACUGGAUGAACGGAGGCGCUUGUAGGACCAUGACGUAUGACAUCUGCAGCGUCUCCGUUCACACAAGCCUACCACAAACCCGCCGACAGACGCCUACAUCCGCCAAGACCAGAGCACCAUUCACACACAGACGAAGCAGCAGCCACGAACAAAACGUCUCCCAGUAUUUCACGGAACCAUUUAACACGACUCCACCGCAGACCUGCCAAACACGCCUACGUCCUGCGAUACAAUAAAACAAAAAAACUCUCCCAGCCCCGCAAACGGCUGUAUCUUAUCCUCCUCUCUCUUCCUCUGUCCUGUGCACCCACACAAACCUACUUACACAGCUGCACUAAGAAGUGCUGUAUGUGUUACGGACAUAAGUCAUCAUCUGCAAGCCAUCCACACACAUGGCAAAGAGACAAACCAAGAUCAGAAAGGUCUGGGGCAAAAGACAGCAAAUACCUGUUUGUUAAUAUGUGACAGUCUGAGCCGUCAUGCCUUUCAUACAAAUAAACAUUUGUAUUAUUUA
Long non-coding RNA from Gasterosteus aculeatus aculeatus (three-spined stickleback), 1770 nucleotides. RefSeq lists it as uncharacterized. The record is from RefSeq and is a predicted model, not a curated record. NCBI's taxonomy places the organism in Eukaryota, Metazoa, Chordata, Actinopteri, Perciformes, Gasterosteidae.